UACGUAGGGUGCGAGCGUUGUCCGGAAUUAUUGGGCGUAAAGAGCUUGUAGGCGGUUUGUCGCGUCUGCCGUGAAAAUCCGGGGCUCAACCCCGGACUUGCGGUGGGUACGGGCAGACUAGAGUGUGGUAGGGGAGACUGGAAUUCCUGGUGUAGCGGUGAAAUGCGCAGAUAUCAGGAGGAACACCGAUGGCGAAGGCAGGUCUCUGGGCCACUACUGACGCUGAGAAGCGAAAGCGUGAGGAGCGAACAGG
RNAcentral lists this ribosomal RNA (253 nucleotides) under uncultured bacterium. Its description in RNAcentral is "partial 16S ribosomal RNA". It matches the Rfam family "Bacterial small subunit ribosomal RNA", at positions 524 to 776 of the family's 1533-position model. The record is from RNAcentral.